GAUGAACGCUAGCUACAGGCUUAACACAUGCAAGUCGAGGGGCAGCAUUUCAGUUUGCUUGCAAACUGGAGAUGGCGACCGGCGCACGGGUGAGUAACACGUAUCCAACCUGCCGAUAACUCGGGGAUAGCCUUUCGAAAGAAAGAUUAAUAUCCGAUAGUAUAUUUCUCCGCAUGGCGAGAAUAUUAAAGAAUUUCGGUUAUCGAUGGGGACGCGUUCCAUUAGUUUGUUGGCGGGGUAACGGCCCACCAAGACUACGAUGGAUAGGGGUUCUGAGAGGAAGGUCCCCCACAUUGGAACUGAGACACGGUCCAA
RNAcentral lists this ribosomal RNA (315 nucleotides) under uncultured bacterium. Its description in RNAcentral is "bacterial SSU rRNA". It matches the Rfam family "Bacterial small subunit ribosomal RNA", at positions 28 to 334 of the family's 1533-position model. The record is from RNAcentral.